RNAcentral lists this ribosomal RNA (484 nucleotides) under uncultured bacterium. RNAcentral describes it as "partial 16S ribosomal RNA". It matches the Rfam family "Bacterial small subunit ribosomal RNA", at positions 28 to 523 of the family's 1533-position model. The record is from RNAcentral.
GACGAACGCUGGCGGCGUGCUUAACACAUGCAAGUCGAACGAUGAAGCUGGAGCUUGCUCUGGCGGAUUAGUGGCGAACGGGUGAGUAACACGUGAGAAAUCUGCCCUUGACUCUGGGAUAACUGCGGGAAACUGUAGCUAAUACCGGAUACUUUCCCUGGUGGGCAUCCACUGGGGAAGAAAGAAUUUCGGUCAAGGAUGAUCUCGCGGCCUAUCAGCUUGUUGGUGAGGUAAUGGCUCACCAAGGCGACGACGGGUAGCCGGCCUGAGAGGGGGACCGGCCACACUGGGACUGAGACACGGCCCAGACUCCUACGGGAGGCAGCAGUGGGGAAUAUUGCACAAUGGGCGCAAGCCUGAUGCAGCAACGCCGCGUGAGGAAUGAAGGCCUUCGGGUUGUAAACCUCUUUUAGCAGGGAAGAAGCGAAAGUGACGGUACCUGCGGAAAAAGCACCGGCUAACUACGUGCCAGCCGCCGCCGUAA